ACAGAUGGACCCGGGGCGCAUUAGCUAGUUGGUGGGGUAAUGGCUCACCAAGGGGGACGAUGCGUAGCCGACCUGAAGGGUGAUUGGCCACACUGGGACUGAGACACGGCCCAGAUUCCUACGGGAGGCAGCAGUAGGGAAUUUUCCGCAAUGGACGAAAGUCUGACGGAGCAACGCCGCGUGAGUGAUGAAGGUUUUCGGAUCGUAAAGCUCUGUUGUUAGGGAAGAACAAGUGCGAGAGUAACUGCUCGCACCUUGACGGUACCUAACCAGAAAGCCACGGCUAACUACGUGCCAGCAGCCGCGGUAAUACGUAGGUGGCAAGCGUUGUCCGGAAUUAUUGGGCGUAAAGGGCUCGCAGGCGGUUUCUUAAGUCUGAUGUGAAAGCCCCCGGCUCAACCGGGGAGGGUCAUUGGAAACUGGGAAACUUGAGUGCAGAAGAGGAGAGUGGAAUUCCACGUGUAGCGGUGAAAUGCGUAGAGAUGUGGAGGAACACCAGUGGCGAAGGCGACUCUCUGGUCUGUAACUGACGCUGAGGAGCGAAAGCGUGGGGAGCGAACAGGAUUAGAUACCCUGGUAGUCCACGCCGUAAACGAUGAGUGCUAAGUGUUAGGGGGUUUCCGCCCCUUAGUGCUGCAGCUAACGCAUUAAGCACUCCGCCUGGGGAGUACGGUCGCAAGACUGAAACUCAAAGGAAUUGACGGGGGCCCGCACAAGCGGUGGAGCAUGUGGUUUAAUUCGAAGCAACGCGAAGAACCUUACCAGGUCUUGACAUCCUCUGACAACCCUAGAGAUAGGGCUUUCCCUUCGGGGACAGAGUGACAGGUGGUGCAUGGUUGUCGUCAGCUCGUGUCGUGAGAUGUUGGGUUAAGUCCCGCAACGAGCGCAACCCUUGAUCUUAGUUGCCAGCAUUUAGUUGGGCACUCUAAGGUGACUGCCGGUGACAAACCGGAGGAAGGUGGGGAUGACGUCAAAUCAUCAUGCCCCUUAUGACCUGGGCUACACACGUGCUACAAUGGACAGAACAAAGGGCUGCGAGACCGCAAGGUUUAGCCAAUCCCAUAAAUCUGUUCUCAGUUCGGAUCGCAGUCUGCAACUCGACUGCGUGAAGCUGGAAUCGCUAGUAAUCGCGGAUCAGCAUGCCGCGGUGAAUACGUUCCCGGGCCUUGUACACACCGCCCGUCACACCACGAGAGUUUGCAACACCCGAAGUCGGUGAGGUAACCUUUAUGGAG
Molecule: ribosomal RNA, 1235 nt
Filed under: Bacillus pumilus
Lineage: Bacteria; Bacillati; Bacillota; Bacilli; Caryophanales; Bacillaceae
Description: bacterial SSU rRNA
Rfam family: Bacterial small subunit ribosomal RNA
Source: RNAcentral